GAUGAACGCUGGCGGCGUGCCUAAUACAUGCAAGUCGAGCGAACGGACGAGAAGCUUGCUUUUCUGAUGUUAGCGGCGGACGGGUGAGUAACACGUGGAUAACCUACCUAUAAGACUGGGAUAACUUCGGGAAACCGGAGCUAAUACCGGAUAAUAUUUUGAACCGCAUGGUUCAAAAGUGAAAGACGGUCUUGCUGCCACUUAUAGAUGGAUCCGCGCUGCAUUAGCUAGUUGGUAAGGUAACGGCUUACCAAGGCAACGAUGCAUAGCCGACCGGAGAGGGUGAUCGCCCACACUGGAACUGAGACACGGUCCAGACUCCUACGGGAGGCAGCAGUAGGGAAUCUUCCGCAAUGGGCGAAAGCCUGACGGAGCAACGCCGCGUGAGUGAUGAAGGUCUUCGGAUCGUAAAGCUCUGUUAUUAGGGAAGAACAUAUGUGUAAGUAACUGUGCACAUCUUGACGGUACCUAAUCAGAAAGCCACGGCUAACUACGUG
This 497-nucleotide ribosomal RNA is filed under the name uncultured bacterium. RNAcentral describes it as "partial 16S ribosomal RNA". It matches the Rfam family "Bacterial small subunit ribosomal RNA", at positions 28 to 507 of the family's 1533-position model. The record is from RNAcentral.